UCCCCAAGUGGCGGAAUAGGUAGACGCAUUGGACUUAAAAUCCAACGGGCUUAAUAUCCUGUGCCGGUUCAAGUCCGGCCUUGGGGACCAU
Molecule: transfer RNA, 91 nt
Filed under: Mycoplasma mycoides subsp. capri str. GM12
Lineage: Bacteria; Bacillati; Mycoplasmatota; Mollicutes; Mycoplasmatales; Mycoplasmataceae
Description: tRNA-Leu
Rfam family: tRNA
About the family: Transfer RNA (tRNA) molecules are approximately 80 nucleotides in length. Their secondary structure includes four short double-helical elements and three loops (D, anti-codon, and T loops).
Source: RNAcentral